AUCCUACGGGAGGCAGCAGUGGGGAAUAUUGCACAAUGGGGGGAACCCUGAUGCAGCGACGCCGCGUGAGUGAAGAAGUAUUUCGGUAUGUAAAGCUCUAUCAGCAGGGAAGAAAAUGACGGUACCUGACUAAGAAGCCCCGGCUAACUACGUGCCAGCAGCCGCGGUAAUACGUAGGGGGCAAGCGUUAUCCGGAUUUACUGGGUGUAAAGGGAGCGUAGACGGCAGAGCAAGUCUGAAGUGAAAGACCGCGGCCAACUGC
RNAcentral lists this ribosomal RNA (262 nucleotides) under uncultured bacterium. RNAcentral's name for it is "partial 16S ribosomal RNA". It matches the Rfam family "Bacterial small subunit ribosomal RNA", at positions 335 to 616 of the family's 1533-position model. The record is from RNAcentral.